GCAUAAGCCCUUAGCACUGCAUGGUGCAUAGGGAAAAGGAGCAAUCCGGUACAGGAUGGACCCGCGUCUGAUUAGCCAGUUGGCAGGGUAACGGCCUACCAAAGCGACGAUCAGUAGCCGAUCUGAGAGGAUGUACGGCCACAUUGGGACUGAGACACGGCCCAGACUCCUACGGGAGGCAGCAGUGGGGAAUAUUGCACAAUGGAGGAAACUCUGAUGCAGCGACGCCGCGUGAGUGAAGAAGUAUUUCGGUAUGUAAAGCUCUAUCAGCAGGGAAGAAAAUGACGGUACCUGACUAAGAAGCACCGGCUAAAUACGUGCCAGCAGCCGCGGUAAUACGUAUGGUGCAAGCGUUAUCCGGAUUUACUGGGUGUAAAGGGAGCGUAGGUGGCAAGGCAAGCCAGAAGUGAAAACCCGGGGCUCAACCGCGGGAUUGCUUUUGGAACUGUCAUGCUAGAGUGCAGGAGGGGUGAGCGGAAUUCCUAGUGUAGCGGUGAAAUGCGUA
Molecule: ribosomal RNA, 505 nt
Filed under: uncultured Lachnospiraceae bacterium
Lineage: Bacteria; Bacillati; Bacillota; Clostridia; Lachnospirales; Lachnospiraceae
Description: bacterial SSU rRNA
Rfam family: Bacterial small subunit ribosomal RNA
Source: RNAcentral